This 444-nucleotide long non-coding RNA is filed under the name Mytilus galloprovincialis (Mediterranean mussel). Lineage: Eukaryota; Metazoa; Mollusca; Bivalvia; Mytilida; Mytilidae. The record is from RNAcentral.
CAACGUAAAUCGUUGAAAAAAAUAUUAAAACAUCUCAUCUCAAGAAUAGUGUAUCAAUUCAGUUUGAGACGUCAUAAAGAAAUGCUUCAUUGCGUUGGUUUGCAAUAAGUAGCUUGCUAUUUUUUCGAUCGAAGAACGCAGACUGUGGUUUUUUAAGACCAUCUUUCUCUGACAGUAACACUCUGUGUGUGCUUCCCUCUCGUGAAAUGACGACGAAUUUGUAAGAUCCACAGCCCGAUACGUAAACACGUCCAUAGUUGUCAACUGUAAUACCGUGUGCGUUUAUGAGAAAUAUUUUCUUUUCUAAUUUCCAUUUCAAUGUACCUUGGAGAUCACAGCAUCUUACUGAAUCAUCAUUGUUUAUAAAAUAAAGUUGAUCUGACCACAUUGCAAUGCUGCUAUAUCGAUUCAAUGUAUCGUUAAUUAGUUGUGUUAUAGAGUCGU